RNAcentral lists this ribosomal RNA (496 nucleotides) under uncultured bacterium. Its description in RNAcentral is "partial 16S ribosomal RNA". It matches the Rfam family "Bacterial small subunit ribosomal RNA", at positions 29 to 507 of the family's 1533-position model. The record is from RNAcentral.
AUGAACGCUGGCGGCUUGCCUAAUACCUGCAAGUCGCGCGAACAGACGAGGAGCUUGCUCCUCUGACGUUAGCGGCGGACGGGUGAGUAACACGUGGAUAACCUACCUAUAAGACUGGGAUAACUUCGGGAAACCGGAGCUAAUACCGGAUAAUAUAUUGAACCGCAUGGUUCAAUAGUGAAAGACGGUUUUGCUGUCACUUAUAGAUGGAUCCGCGCCGCAUUAGCUAGUUGGUAAGGUAACGGCUUACCAAGGCAACGAUGCGUAGCCGACCUGAGAGGGUGAUCGGCCACACUGGAACUGAGACACGGUCCAGACUCCUACGGGAGGCAGCAGUAGGGAAUCUUCCGCAAUGGGCGAAAGCCUGACGGAGCAACGCCGCGUGAGUGAUGAAGGUCUUCGGAUCGUAAAACUCUGUUAUUAGGGAAGAACAAAUGUGUAAGUAACUAUGCACGUCUUGACGGUACCUAAUCAGAAAGCCACGGCUAACUACGUG